RNAcentral lists this small RNA (865 nucleotides) under Malus domestica (apple). RNAcentral's name for it is "sRNA MD09G0228500". The record is from RNAcentral. Lineage: Eukaryota; Viridiplantae; Streptophyta; Magnoliopsida; Rosales; Rosaceae.
UUAAACAAGGUCGAGCAACUGUUUAUUAACUAUCUACUAAGCUAUGAAAAUCAGACAAGCUGCAAUUGUAUGCUCCUCUCUUCCCCUUGUGGGCACUCUUUUUCGCCUCUGCUUCUCGUCUCUGCAAGAGGCGCUUUCGAUUUCUGGAGACAAGGAGAAGAAUGAAGCCGAGGAUCAAAAUGUCGAUGUUGCUUCUGAUCCAAGUAACGCAACAGCCCAGAUGCAUUUCCGGCAACUUCAGCACUUAAGAACUGCUUGAUCAUAAUGUUGUUGAGUGCCCAUAUUAAUCAAGGCAGGAGGCGCAUUAUCGUAAAUCUGCUCACACUCCAUUUCAAGCGGGAAAAUUGUAUACCCGAGCGCUCAGAAGGCAUAGCCUGAAAGUUGUAACAGACAAACGCCCACUCUAUAACAAACUUCUUCAGGUCAUUAUUGAUUUUUCAAGAACGCAGAGUCUUGGAAUAGAGAGAAAGAGAGAGUUAGAGAAAGAGAGAGAGGGAGAGCUAAAGCUGGAAGCUUGAAACUUGAAGUGAUCACCAAGUCAAUCCCAAUCCUUGAAGCUUGCAAGAAGAAGAAGCAAAGGCCAAAGAUUUUCGGGAUGCAUUCAUUCUGCGAUCCUGGUUACUCGAACAAACAAUAACAAGUUAUGUCUGCACCGAUAUUAUAUAGGUCAUGAAUUUGGAACAGGAUAUAUCUCCAUCAGCUUUUGUUACUCGAACAAACAAAAGCAAAAAGUUGAGGUUCAUGGAUAGGAAAUAUCUCCAACAAAGUCUCCGUUGUAGCCAAAUGAGGAAAUCAGAUUACUGAAUAAUUGAUUUUUCUAGUAAGUUAUUUUGUCAUGUUUUAUCUCUAGAUGAAAAAGAAGCAA